RNAcentral lists this long non-coding RNA (388 nucleotides) under Ananas comosus (pineapple). Its description in RNAcentral is "long non-coding RNA (ACOM_LNC007542)". Lineage: Eukaryota; Viridiplantae; Streptophyta; Magnoliopsida; Poales; Bromeliaceae. The record is from RNAcentral.
UUUUUUUGUAAUUAACGAUACAAUUUCAUCUUCAUCCUUUUUUUAUAUAAUUUUUUAUCUUUAUUUUUUUCUGUUUUUUUUAUAAUUUUUUUUGUCACCUUCUCUGCCAACAGCUACGGCGCCUGUGACGACGCCGCUAAGGACCCCCUGCUCCGAGGCUGUAGCGCCGCAGUGACCUCUACGGUAUUGACGUCGGCGCCGGCGAAGAUAAAUCGUCGUUGGAGGCGGCAGAAAAUGAGGGAGAGGGAGAGAUGAGAAGGGCGGGGAAGGGCGAGAGGCUUCGUCGUCGGAGACGGUGGAGAAGAGUCGGAGAAGAAAAGAAAAGGAAAAAGCAAAAAAGAAAAGUCGCGUCGCGGCCUUGGUGGGGUCGGAGGCGAGGAAGGUGGGG